This 547-nucleotide ribosomal RNA is filed under the name uncultured Basidiomycota. RNAcentral describes it as "SSU rRNA". It matches the Rfam family "Eukaryotic small subunit ribosomal RNA", at positions 548 to 1098 of the family's 1831-position model. Lineage: Eukaryota; Fungi; Basidiomycota. The record is from RNAcentral.
UUGGAGGGCAAGUCUGGUGCCAGCAGCCGCGGUAAUUCCAGCUCCAAUAGCGUAUAUUAAAGUUGUUGCAGUUAAAAAGCUCGUAGUUGAACUUCAGACCUGGCUGGGCGGUCCGCUUAACGGCGUGUACUGUCUGGCUGGGUCUUACCUCUUGGUGAGCCGGCGUGCCCUUUAUUGGUGUGCGUCGGGGAACCAGGACUUUUACCUUGAGAAAAUUAGAGUGUUCAAAGCAGGCCUAUGCCUGAAUACAUUAGCAUGGAAUAAUAAAAUAGGACGUGCGGUUCUAUUUUGUUGGUUUCUAGAGUCGCCGUAAUGAUUAAUAGGGAUAGUUGGGGGCAUUGGUAUUGUGUCGCUAGAGGUGAAAUUCUUGGAUUGACACAAGACCAACUACUGCGAAAGCAUUUGCCAAGGAUGUUUUCAUUAAUCAAGAACGAAGGUUAGGGGAUCGAAAACGAUCAGAUACCGUUGUAGUCUUAACAGUAAACUAUGCCGACUAGGGAUCGGACGACCUCAAUUUUGAUGCGUCGUUCGGCGCCUUACGGGAAAC